This 24-nucleotide non-coding RNA is filed under the name Arabidopsis thaliana (thale cress). Lineage: Eukaryota; Viridiplantae; Streptophyta; Magnoliopsida; Brassicales; Brassicaceae. The record is from RNAcentral.
GUUAUAAUGAAAAGGUUAAAUUGC